GAGUUUGAUCAUGGCUCAGGAUGAACGCUAGCGGCAGGCCUCAUACAUGCAAGUCGAGGGGCAGCAGGACACUUCGGUGUUGCUGGCGACCGGCGCACGGGUGCGUAACACGUAUGCAAUCUGCCUUGUACUGGAGCAUAGCCCUCGGAAACGAAGAUUAAUACUCCAUACAGUCUUACUAGCGCAUGCUAGUAAGAUGAAAGCUCCGGCGGUACAAGAUGAGCAUGCAUCCCAUUAGCUUGUUGGUGAGAUAACAGCUCACCAAGGCUACGAUGGGUAGGGGUUCUGAGAGGAAGAUCCCCCACACUGGCACUGAGAUACGGGCCAGACUCCUACGGGAGGCAGCAGUAGGGAAUAUUGGUCAAUGGGCGCAAGCCUGAACCAGCCAUGCCGCGUGCAGGAUGAAGGCCUUCAGGGUUGUAAACUGCUUUUGUAUGGGAAUAAAAAAGUCCUUGCGAGGACUCUUGAAGGUACCAUAAGAAUAAGCACCGGCUAACUCCGUGCCAGCAGCCGCGGUAAUACGGAGGGUGCAAGCGUUAUCCGGAUUUACUGGGUUUAAAGAGUGCGUAGGCGGCUUCUUAAGUCAGUGGUGAAAGCUUAGCGCUUAACGCUAGAAGUGCCACUGAUACUGGGAAGCUUGAGUCAAGAAGAGGUAAGCAGAAUUCAUAGUGUAGCAGUGAAAUGCUUAGAUACUAUGAGGAAUACCAACAGCGAAGGCAGCUUACUGGUCUUGUACUGACGUUGAGGCACGAAAGCGUGGGUAGCGAACAGGAUUAGAUACCCUGGUAGUCCACGCCGU
This 799-nucleotide ribosomal RNA is filed under the name uncultured Bacteroidota bacterium. RNAcentral describes it as "bacterial SSU rRNA". It matches the Rfam family "Bacterial small subunit ribosomal RNA", at positions 9 to 803 of the family's 1533-position model. Lineage: Bacteria; Pseudomonadati; Bacteroidota. The record is from RNAcentral.